GGGAUUCCUGUCUAUUCCAACGGAUAGAGAUUGGAAUCAGGCCCAUGGUUGAUUGGAGCGAUGUGUUGGACGGUGAGUGGGUGCGCAAAUGGUAUAUGUAAACGACGUCAGACCGGCUCGUCUCGGAGGCCAACCGCUCGCACCAUUGAGAUGACUGGAAAUGAAAUGGAUAAUCCAUUUUGACUUUUGAAAAAGUGGCAGCAGGAGCUUACAGUUCAGUGAGAAUAAGGGGUCUCAAAUCAGCGCGAGAUAUCGUACGUAGAUGUUCACACGAUGUACUGUACAUAUACCAUAAAUAUUUGAGCAUCAAUAAGAAAAUAAAAUAAAAUAAAAUAACACAAAGGUAAAGGAAAACAGUACGAAGGUGCUCCAAAAUAGAGCGAAAAUUGGAAAUUUCCCUUCUCUAGUAAAAUACAUCAGUCAAAAACAAAGCUAAGAAGAGGCAGAAUAAGAAAGGGGUCCAAGGGG
RNAcentral lists this small RNA (468 nucleotides) under Histoplasma capsulatum. RNAcentral describes it as "hypothetical RNA". Lineage: Eukaryota; Fungi; Ascomycota; Eurotiomycetes; Onygenales; Ajellomycetaceae. The record is from RNAcentral. RNAcentral also lists the same sequence under 1 other name.